AAUACAGAGGUCUCAAGCGUUGUUCGGAUUCAUUGGGCGUAAAGGGUGCGUAGGUGGCGCCGUAAGUCAGGUGUGAAAUCUCGGGGCUCAACCCCGAAACUGCACUUGAUACUGCGGUGCUCGAGUACUGGAGAGGAGAUUGGAAUUUACGGUGUAGCAGUGAAAUGCGUAGAUAUCGUAAGGAAGACCAGUGGCGAAGGCGAAUCUCUGGACAGUUACUGACACUGAGGCACGAAGGCCAGGGGAGCAAACGG
This 254-nucleotide ribosomal RNA is filed under the name uncultured prokaryote. RNAcentral's name for it is "partial 16S ribosomal RNA". It matches the Rfam family "Bacterial small subunit ribosomal RNA", at positions 522 to 775 of the family's 1533-position model. The record is from RNAcentral.